GGAAGUGGGGGAUAACGUUCGGAAACGGACGCUAAUACCGCAUACGUCCACGGGAGAAAGCAGGGGACCUUCGGGCCUUGCGCUAUCAGAUGAGCCUAGGUCGGAUUAGCUAGUUGGUGGGGUAAUGGCUCACCAAGGCGACGAUCCGUAACUGGUCUGAGAGGAUGAUCAGUCACACUGGAACUGAGACACGGUCCAGACUCCUACGGGAGGCAGCAGUGGGGAAUAUUGGACAAUGGGCGAAAGCCUGAUCCAGCCAUGCCGCGUGUGUGAAGAAGGUCUUCGGAUUGUAAAGCACUUUAAGUUGGGAGGAAGGGCAGUAAAUUAAUACUUUGCUGUUUUGACGUUACCGACAGAAUAAGCACCGGCUAACUCUGUGCCAGCAGCCGCGGUAAU
Molecule: ribosomal RNA, 396 nt
Filed under: uncultured Pseudomonas sp.
Lineage: Bacteria; Pseudomonadati; Pseudomonadota; Gammaproteobacteria; Pseudomonadales; Pseudomonadaceae
Description: bacterial SSU rRNA
Rfam family: Bacterial small subunit ribosomal RNA
Source: RNAcentral